RNAcentral lists this unclassified non-coding RNA (218 nucleotides) under Hevea brasiliensis (rubber tree). Lineage: Eukaryota; Viridiplantae; Streptophyta; Magnoliopsida; Malpighiales; Euphorbiaceae. The record is from RNAcentral.
AAGGAAUUGUAGUUGCCAAGCUUGAGGGUUCCUUUGCAGUGAUGACACCGGAAGCAGGCCUUAUGGUAGACACGGUUGUCGGCUGUUAACUUAUCCACAAGAUAGACAGUCUUUUCACAUGCCAUGCACUUCUGGGUUGUUCCUGCAAAUGCCAUGGCUUCAAAAUUCUCACCUUAGAAACUGCAACUAUAAUCUAUAUAUCCUUCCUUCGUUUUGUU